GGAUCGCUGCUGUGCGCGAGACGGGACCCGGACUUUGCCGAACCGAUGCGGCUCUGCAGGGCCUCCCAAUCUUCGCGCGAACGGCUUCCCCCUGCGGGGGGAAACCCGAAACGCGAGUGCGGCGGCCCACUUGAUGGCAGGGUUCCGCAAAGCGGGAUACCUACGGCACGAGUGGCGAUCCC
Molecule: non-coding RNA, 182 nt
Filed under: Planctomycetota bacterium
Lineage: Bacteria; Pseudomonadati; Planctomycetota
Description: Planctomycetes bacterium 6S RNA
Rfam family: 6S / SsrS RNA
About the family: E. coli 6S RNA was the first non coding RNA to be sequenced, but its function was unknown until recently. It consists of 184 nucleotides that fold into an extended hairpin structure with a large single-stranded internal bulge. The 6S RNA specifically associates with RNA polymerase holoenzyme containing the sigma70 specificity factor.
Source: RNAcentral